This 253-nucleotide ribosomal RNA is filed under the name uncultured bacterium. RNAcentral describes it as "partial 16S ribosomal RNA". It matches the Rfam family "Bacterial small subunit ribosomal RNA", at positions 524 to 776 of the family's 1533-position model. The record is from RNAcentral.
GACGAACCGUGCGAACGUUGUUCGGAAUCACUGGGCGUAAAGGGUGCGUAGGCGGGUCUUUAAGUCAGGGGUGAAAUCCUGGAGCUCAACUCCAGAACUGCCUUUGAUACUGAGGAUCUUGAGUACGGGAGAGGUGAGUGGAACUGCGAGUGUAGAGGUGAAAUUCGUAGAUAUUCGGAAGAACACCAGUGGCGAAGGCGACACACUGGCCCGUAACUGACGCUGAGGCGCGAAAGCGUGGGGAGCAAACAGG